GAUGAACGCUGACAGAAUGCUUAACACAUGCAAGUCAACUUGAACUUCGGUUUGGGUGGCGGACGGGUGAGUAACGCGUAAAGAACUUGCCUCACAGCUAGGGACAACAUUUGGAAACGAAUGCUAAUACCUGAUAUUAUGAUUUUAGGGCAUCCUAGAAUUAUGAAAGCUAUAUGCGCUGUGAGAGAGCUUUGCGUCCCAUUAGCUAGUUGGAGAGGUAACGGCUCACCAAGGCGAUGAUGGGUAGCCGGCCUGAGAGGGUGAACGGCCACAAGGGGACUGAGACACGGCCCUUACUCCUACGGGAGGCAGCAGUGGGGAAUAUUGGACAAUCGACCAAGAGUCUGAUCCAGCAAUUCUGUGUGCACGAUGAAGUUUUUCGGAAUGUAAAGUGCUUUCAGUUGGGAAGAAAAAAAUGACGGUACCAACAGAAGAAGUGACGGCUAAAUACGUG
RNAcentral lists this ribosomal RNA (454 nucleotides) under uncultured bacterium. RNAcentral's name for it is "partial 16S ribosomal RNA". It matches the Rfam family "Bacterial small subunit ribosomal RNA", at positions 28 to 507 of the family's 1533-position model. The record is from RNAcentral.